RNAcentral lists this ribosomal RNA (513 nucleotides) under uncultured bacterium. Its description in RNAcentral is "partial 16S ribosomal RNA". It matches the Rfam family "Bacterial small subunit ribosomal RNA", at positions 28 to 507 of the family's 1533-position model. The record is from RNAcentral.
GACGAACGCUGGCGGCGUGCUUAACACAUGCCAGUCGAACGAAAAGAGGGAAAGAGCUUGCUCUUUCCGGAAUUGAGUGGCAAACGGGUGAGUAACACGUAAACAACCUGCCUUCAGGAUGGGGACAACAGACGGAAACGACUGCUAAUACCGAAUAAGUUCCAAGAGCCGCAUGGCCCAUGGAAGAAAAGGUGGCCUCUACCUGUAAGCUAUCGCCUGAAGAGGGGUUUGCGUCUGAUUAGCUGGUUGGAGGGGUAACGGCCCACCAAGGCGACGAUCAGUAGCCGGUCUGAGAGGAUGAACGGCCACACUGGAACUGAGACACGGUCCAGACUCCUACGGGAGGCAGCAGUGGGGAAUCUUCCGCAAUGGGCGAAAGCCUGACGGAGCAACGCCGCGUGAGUGAUGACGGCCUUCGGGUUGUAAAACUCUGUGAUCCGGGACGAAAAGGCAGAGUGCGAAGAACAAACUGCAUUGACGGUACCGGAAAAGCAAGCCACGGCUAACUACGUG